ACGCUCGACACCUACGGGAGGUAGCAGUGGGGGAUAUUGCACAAUGGGGGAAACCCGUGAUGCAGCGACGCCGCGUGGAGGAAGAAGGUCUUCGGAUUGUAAACUCCUGUUGUUGGGGAAAAGAGGAUGGUACCCAACAAGGAAGUGACGGCUAACUACGUGCCAACAGCCGCGGUAAUCUGAGCGGGCGUGGCAAGGC
Molecule: ribosomal RNA, 199 nt
Filed under: uncultured bacterium
Lineage: Bacteria
Description: partial 16S ribosomal RNA
Rfam family: Bacterial small subunit ribosomal RNA
Source: RNAcentral